AGUUGGUGGAGUGAUUUGUCUGGUUAAUUCCGUUAACGAACGAGACCUCGACCUGCUAAAUAGCUCAGCGAAUUCUUCGGGAUUCGACUGAUUUGCUUCUUAGAGGGACUUUGGGUGCGUAGCCUAAGGAAGUUCGAGGCAAUAACAGGUCU
RNAcentral lists this ribosomal RNA (152 nucleotides) under Cercozoa sp. Its description in RNAcentral is "partial small subunit ribosomal RNA". It matches the Rfam family "Eukaryotic small subunit ribosomal RNA", at positions 1296 to 1463 of the family's 1831-position model. The record is from RNAcentral. Lineage: Eukaryota; Cercozoa.